Molecule: transfer RNA, 72 nt
Filed under: Diaphorina citri (Asian citrus psyllid)
Lineage: Eukaryota; Metazoa; Arthropoda; Insecta; Hemiptera; Psyllidae
Rfam family: tRNA
About the family: Transfer RNA (tRNA) molecules are approximately 80 nucleotides in length. Their secondary structure includes four short double-helical elements and three loops (D, anti-codon, and T loops).
Source: Rfam by way of RNAcentral
GCUCCCAUGGCGUAGUGGUCACUGCACUCGCCUUGCACGCCGCAGACCCGGGUUCGAUUCCCGGCGGGGUCA